UUAAGUUCAGCGGGUAGUCCUACCUGAUUUGAGGUCAAAUCGUCAAGUAAUUGUCUCGGGACGAGACAGCUAGGAGCUGAGCACCCUGUACAUGCAGCAAUACAACCUGGUAAGACAUCUAUCAAUACCAAGCUGGAGAGGCUUGUACGUGGGCCCUGCUAAUUCAUUUGAGAAGAGCUGACAAGGCCAGCAGCUUCCAC
This 200-nucleotide unclassified non-coding RNA is filed under the name Pluteus sp. Its description in RNAcentral is "partial internal transcribed spacer 2". The record is from RNAcentral. Lineage: Eukaryota; Fungi; Basidiomycota; Agaricomycetes; Agaricales; Pluteaceae.